This 151-nucleotide ribosomal RNA is filed under the name Fuscoporia torulosa. Its description in RNAcentral is "5.8S ribosomal RNA". It matches the Rfam family "5.8S ribosomal RNA". Rfam says of the family: 5.8S ribosomal RNA (5.8S rRNA) is a component of the large subunit of the eukaryotic ribosome. It is transcribed by RNA polymerase I as part of the 45S precursor that also contains 18S and 28S rRNA. Lineage: Eukaryota; Fungi; Basidiomycota; Agaricomycetes; Hymenochaetales; Hymenochaetaceae. The record is from RNAcentral.
CUUUCAACAACGGAUCUCUUGGCUCUCGCAUCGAUGAAGAACGCAGCGAAAUGCGAUAAGUAAUGUGAAUUGCAGAAUUCAGUGAAUCAUCGAAUCUUUGAACGCACCUUGCGCUCCUUGGUAUUCCGAGGAGCAUGCCUGUUUGAGUGUU